AGUCACUGACAUUAGAUACCCCCGUAGUCCAGGGUGUAAACGCUGCAGACUUGGUGUUGGGAACCCUUCGGGGGUGCUCAGUGCCGGAGAGAAGUUGUUAAGUCUGCUACUUGGGGAGUACGUCCGCAAGGAUGAAACUUAAAGGAAUUGGCGGGGGAGCACCGCAACGGGAGGAGCGUGCGGUUUAAUUGGAUUCAACGCUGAAAAACUCACCAGCAGCGACUGUUACAUGAAAGUCAGGUUGAUGACCUUACUAGAUUUUUCAG
Molecule: ribosomal RNA, 266 nt
Filed under: uncultured archaeon
Lineage: Archaea
Description: partial 16S ribosomal RNA
Rfam family: Archaeal small subunit ribosomal RNA
Source: RNAcentral